GACGAACGCUGGCGGCGUGCUUAACACAUGCAAGUCGAACGGAAAGGCCCUGCUUUUGUGGGGUGCUCGAGCGGCGAACGGGUGAGUAACACGUGCGUAACCUGCCCUUGACUUUGGGAUAACUUCAGGAAACUGGGGCUAAUAACGGAUAGGAGCUCCUGCUGCAUGGUGGGGGUUGGAAAGUUUCGGCGGUUGGGGAUGGACUCGCGGCUUAUCAGCUUGUUGGUGGGGGAGUGGCUUACCACGGCUUUGACGGGUAGCCGGCCUGAGAGGGUGACCGGCCACAUUGGGACUGAGAGACGGCCCAGACUCCUACGGGAGGCAGCAGUGGGAAAUAUUGCACAAUGGGCGGAAGCCUGAUGCAGCAACGCCGCGUGCGGGAUGACGGCCUUCGGGUUGUAAACCGCUUUCGCCUGUGACGAAGCGUGAGUGACGGUAAUGGGUAAAGAAGCACCGGCUAACUACGUG
Molecule: ribosomal RNA, 468 nt
Filed under: uncultured bacterium
Lineage: Bacteria
Description: partial 16S ribosomal RNA
Rfam family: Bacterial small subunit ribosomal RNA
Source: RNAcentral